This 1236-nucleotide ribosomal RNA is filed under the name metagenome. RNAcentral's name for it is "bacterial SSU rRNA". It matches the Rfam family "Bacterial small subunit ribosomal RNA", at positions 8 to 1258 of the family's 1533-position model. The record is from RNAcentral.
AGAGUUUGAUCCUGGCUCAGGAUGAACGCUGGCGGCGUGCCUAACACAUGCAAGUCGAACGGAAUUUACAUGAAGCCUAGCGAUUGUAAAUUUAGUGGCGGACGGGUGAGUAACGCGUGGGUAACCUGCCUUGUACUGGGGGACAACAGUUGGAAACGACUGCUAAUACCGCAUAAGCGCACAGCUUCGCAUGAAGCAGUGUGAAAAACUCCGGUGGUACAAGAUGGACCCGCGUCUGAUUAGCUGGUUGGUGAGGUAACGGCCCACCAAGGCGACGAUCAGUAGCCGGCCUGAGAGGGUGAACGGCCACAUUGGGACUGAGACACGGCCCAAACUCCUACGGGAGGCAGCAGUGGGGAAUAUUGCACGAUGGGGGAAACCCUGAUGCAGCAACGCCGCGUGAGUGAAGAAGUAUUUCGGUAUGUAAAGCUCUAUCAGCAGGAAAGAAAAUGACGGUACCUGACUAAGAAGCCCCGGCUAACUACGUGCCAGCAGCCGCGGUAAUACGUAGGGGGCAAGCGUUAUCCGGAUUUACUGGGUGUAAAGGGAGCGUAGACGGUUUUGCAAGUCUGAAGUGAAAGCCCGGGGCUUAACCCCGGGACUGCUUUGGAAACUGUAGGACUAGAGUGCAGGAGAGGUAAGUGGAAUUCCUAGUGUAGCGGUGAAAUGCGUAGAUAUUAGGAGGAACACCAGUGGCGAAGGCGGCUUACUGGACUGUAACUGACGUUGAGGCUCGAAAGCGUGGGAGCAAACAGGAUUAGAUACCCUGGUAGUCCACGCCGUAAACGAUGAUUACUAGGUGUUGGUGGGUAUGACCCAUCGGUGCCGCAGCAAACGCAAUAAGUAAUCCACCUGGGGAGUACGUUCGCAAGAAUGAAACUCAAAGGAAUUGACGGGGACCCGCACAAGCGGUGGAGCAUGUGGUUUAAUUCGAAGCAACGCGAAGAACCUUACCUGGUCUUGACAUCCCUAUGAAUAACGGGCAAUGCCGUUAGUACUUCGGUACAUAGGAGACAGGUGGUGCAUGGUUGUCGUCAGCUCGUGUCGUGAGAUGUUGGGUUAAGUCCAGCAACGAGCGCAACCCUUAUCUUUAGUAGCCAGCAGUAAGAUGGGCACUCUAGAGAGACUGCCGGGGAUAACCCGGAGGAAGGUGGGGAUGACGUCAAAUCAUCAUGCCCCUUAUGACCAGGGCUACACACGUGCUACAAUGGCGUAAACAAAGAGAAGCGAAGUCGU